UACGUAGGAUGCAAGCGUUGUUCGGAAUUACUGGGCGUAAAGAGUACGUAGGCGGUCUGGCAAGUCUGAUAUUAAAGACUGGAGCUUAACUCCAGGACUGUAUCGGAAACUGCCAAACUAGAGGACAAUAGAGGAAGUCGGAAUUCUCAGUGUAGCGGUGAAAUGCGUAGAUAUUGGGAAGAACACCAGUGGCGAAAGCGGACUUCUGGGUUGUUACUGACGCUGAGGUACGAAAGCGUGGGGAGCAAACAGG
Molecule: ribosomal RNA, 253 nt
Filed under: uncultured bacterium
Lineage: Bacteria
Description: partial 16S ribosomal RNA
Rfam family: Bacterial small subunit ribosomal RNA
Source: RNAcentral